RNAcentral lists this ribosomal RNA (468 nucleotides) under uncultured bacterium. RNAcentral's name for it is "partial 16S ribosomal RNA". It matches the Rfam family "Bacterial small subunit ribosomal RNA", at positions 28 to 507 of the family's 1533-position model. The record is from RNAcentral.
GACGAACGCUGGCGGCGUGCUUAACACAUGCAAGUCGAACGGAAAGGCCCUGAUUUUGUGGGGUUCUCGAGUGGCGAGCGGGUGAGUAACACGUGUGUAUCCUGCCCCUGACUUUGGGAUAACUUCUGGAGACUGGGGCUAAUACCGGAUAGGAGCUCCUGCUGCAUGGUGGGGGUUGGAAAGUUUCGGCGGUUGGGGAUGGUAUCGCGGGUUAUGAGCUUGAUGGUGGGGUAGUGGCUUACCAAGGCUUUGACUGAUAGCCGACCUGAGAGGGUGACCGGCCACCUUGCGACUGAGAGACGGCCCAGACUCGUACGUGAGGCAGUAGGGGGAAAUAUUACACAAUGGGCGGAAGCGUGAUGCAGCAACGCCGCGUGCGGGAAGACCGCCUUCGAGUGAUAAACCGCUUUCGCCUGAGACGAAGCGUUAGUGACGGUAAUGGGUAAAGAAGCACCGGCUAACUACGUG